Molecule: non-coding RNA, 417 nt
Organism: Pimephales promelas (fathead minnow)
Lineage: Eukaryota; Metazoa; Chordata; Actinopteri; Cypriniformes; Leuciscidae
Source: RefSeq, a predicted model, not a curated record
CUAGCAGAGCUGCUUCUUAUGGAGGAAGAGAUUAAAUUUUCAAAUGAGGAAGGCCUUGUUUCACUGCGCCUGGAAAUUGCAAAAAGGCUUUUAAGAGAAACUGAUGACCUUUCACAGCUCUGUCGUUCAUGUGGAGAGCAUCAUAGGGACAAAGGCCAAACUGUGCAAUGGAUUGAAUGUACAGAAUGUGGAAGGUGGUACCAUUGGGACUGUGUGGGUAGACCUUCCACUGUUGGCAAAUACAGCUGCCCUGCGUGCUUAUAGUGUUUUUGUCCUGCCUUUUUUCACCUGUUUUUACUGCUGUUAUUUUUUUACAAUGUUUGUUAACUAAUUGCUAAUAAAUGCUGUGGGUUAUUCACUGGAUCCUACCUGUAUGUCUUUUAAUUAUAAAAUUAUAUUUGCAUAGCUAUAGCUCAU